UUGUUCCAAAGUGAAGAAAAACUGACUUCCUUCUCUCCAGAACAGUCCCCCUGUUUCUUCUCUUGAGGCAGAUGCCAAGGCAGAUAAUGCACAUCUGGUUAAGUGACAGGAGAGGCGAAGAAUCUGUAGACACACAUCACCACUCCCACGUCGGCCUUGCUGUUGGACACGCACGAUGUCGCCUUACCUGUGUGAAAAUGAACCGGCCCCGUUUGAGUUGGGACCACACAGGCAAGAGCUGUUCUUCACCCAUCUCCUGCCUUAUGGGGACCGGUGCUCUUUGUGGCUGUGACCUACACAAGCAAAAAGGGACGACAUUUCGGAGAUUCGAAUCCUUGGGGAACUGAGAUCUACAAGUUCUGCCUGAGCAUCCGGGAAGUGGGGACCAAGGAGAAUGGAGGCUUUGCCCUAGUCAUACAGUGAUUACCAGCCAGGCGGGGCCACACCCCAGAGUCCUCGUUGAUUUGUCAUUUUCCCACCAUCCAGAUAGGAAGCCUUUUGAAAGCAGGCACCGGCAAGAAGUUGACUGAGAACUAGAGGCCAAGUGUAUUCCUUUGCAGAGCUCCGUGUCUCCCUAUUUGUCUCGCAACCUUGGUGUUUGGGUGUUGAUCUGGCUGGGCUUUUAAUUACCAUUCCGACCGACCUGAAAGCGUUGGAGGGGAAGAUUAUCUUCUAAACAUCCUUGAUUUUCUUCUUACUGCCUUUCAUAAGUUCUCUCCAACGAGGGCUUGCUUCUGCUCUGCAGAAAUUAUCUGCUGGGGGCCAUGCCUGAUUUAUAGCAAUCUCUGGCAAAACCUCAGAAAAAAGAUAACACUUUUGUCUUAGACGGACAUCAGAGGUGGCAGCGGGACCCAGUGGAAAGGGUCCCCUGGUGGCAUGAGCUUCUGGGAGCCGAGAGUCCAGCUGAGGGACAGCCACUCAGGGCUUUCUUCUCCCCAAGGAGCGUGACGCAGUUAAGAAGGACAAAAAGAGGCACAAGGCGAAGAGUUGCCAAUGAACUAGGAGAGGAAGUGCUUUCAAGUUGCCGAGCAGCUCCUGGGUGCCGUGAGCUCACCCGCCCACAGCGGGGGUGCCGGUCAUGAAGUGACACUCAACGCCGGUCAACGCAGCAGAGGGGAGAUGGCCCAGGAAGUCAGUCUGAAUUCCCUCCAGGAACGGGAGCGUGAGGUCGUCCUCCAGGUCCUGUACCGAGACCAGGCGGUCCAAAACAUCGAGGAGGAAAGGAUCCGGUAUGCCGUCACCCGCGCGGUGCUGUUCCCUGGGCGCUGGGCUUUUCCUGCCCGCAGCCCGAUGCCCCUCGGCUCUGCUGCUGGCUCGCUGCUGCCUGCGGCCCCGGGUGUCCCCUAUGCCAGCGUCCCGUGCGGGGUGGAAGCGGCCCCGCUGUGUGACCGAGCCCGAAGGGAAGACGUUGCUUUUGUCAUUCGCUUAAAACAAUGCCUUUCGUUCUGGAUGAGUGUGUUGUCUGCUGCGUGUCCCCUUGCUCCUUUGUGGGAAUAAUGGACAGGAAGAUUCCCCGAUACCUGUCGGGGAAAGACCUCCAGGGAGGGGCUGCCUCGAGUGUGCGGCAGACCCGGGGCCACUGACCCUGUCUUUUUCUGUGUGUGUUUUUGCCAACAAGUUGGCUUUGAGGGAAAGGGAGCAUAAAAUCUGAACCUGCCCGGCCUGUUCUCCUGACUGAUCUGCCAACAGGAAGUUUCUUUCUGGAAGCUGCCCCCGCUGCCCGGUGGUCGUUAACGCUUGCUAACGCGUGCUAGACUGUGUCAAAACUGCCGACCGCUAGUGGUCAAGAUCCACCUUUAGAAA
Molecule: long non-coding RNA, 1803 nt
Organism: Suricata suricatta (meerkat)
Lineage: Eukaryota; Metazoa; Chordata; Mammalia; Carnivora; Herpestidae
Exons: 4
Source: RefSeq, a predicted model, not a curated record